RNAcentral lists this ribosomal RNA (889 nucleotides) under uncultured Staphylococcus sp. Its description in RNAcentral is "bacterial SSU rRNA". It matches the Rfam family "Bacterial small subunit ribosomal RNA", at positions 53 to 924 of the family's 1533-position model. The record is from RNAcentral. Lineage: Bacteria; Bacillati; Bacillota; Bacilli; Caryophanales; Staphylococcaceae.
ACAUGCAAGUCGAGCGAACAGAUAAGGAGCUUGCUCCUUUGACGUUAGCGGCGGACGGGUGAGUAACACGUGGAUAACCUACCUAUAAGACUGGGAUAACUUCGGGAAACCGGAGCUAAUACCGGAUAAGAUUUUGAACCGCAUGGUUCAAUAGUGAAAGACGGCCUUGCUGUCACUUAUAGAUGGAUCCGCGCCGUAUUAGCUAGUUGGUAAGGUAACGGCUUACCAAGGCAACGAUACGUAGCCGACCUGAGAGGGUGAUCGGCCACACUGGAACUGAGACACGGUCCAGACUCCUACGGGAGGCAGCAGUAGGGAAUCUUCCGCAAUGGGCGAAAGCCUGACGGAGCAACGCCGCGUGAGUGAUGAAGGUCUUCGGAUCGUAAAACUCUGUUAUCAGGGAAGAACAAACGUGUAAGUAACUGUGCACGUCUUGACGGUACCUGAUCAGAAAGCCACGGCUAACUACGUGCCAGCAGCCGCGGUAAUACGUAGGUGGCAAGCGUUAUCCGGAAUUAUUGGGCGUAAAGCGCGCGUAGGCGGUUUUUUAAGUCUGAUGUGAAAGCCCACGGCUCAACCGUGGAGGGUCAUUGGAAACUGGAAAACUUGAGUGCAGAAGAGGAAAGUGGAAUUCCAUGUGUAGCGGUGAAAUGCGCAGAGAUAUGGAGGAACACCAGUGGCGAAGGCGACUUUCUGGUCUGUAACUGACGCUGAUGUGCGAAAGCGUGGGGAUCAAACAGGAUUAGAUACCCUGGUAGUCCACGCCGUAAACGAUGAGUGCUAAGUGUUAGGGGUUUCCGCCCCUUAGUGCUGCAGCUAACGCAUUAAGCACUCCGCCUGGGGAGUACGACCGCAAGGUUGAAACUCAAAGGAAUUGACGGGGACCCGC